CCCAAGUGUCUCCUGCCGCGCGAAGCAAAUCCCACAUGGAGUGUGCAAGUGCUGUCUGGGACACGGGCUGAAGGUUGUGCCUUCCAGAGGGAAAAAGCAAAGUGCACCUCACUACCCCCCAGGUAUUGAGGCUGGCCAUGACUGAUCCUUCUGAUGCUGCCAUGAGACCAGAGGGAACCACAGCCUGCAGGAGACACCCAAAAAGAGGAAAACAAACAGUUGAGACUUGUUUCAGGGGUCUGGCCUCCAGGCAAAGAAAUGUGGACAAAUGGAUGACCAGAACUGCACCCUGAAAGUAAUCUGCUCAUGGAAACUGUCCAGGAAUAUUGGAUUGGACUGUGGUGGUCAUGAUGAAUGGCAGAACGGAUUUUCCACAAUCUCAACGAGGAAAGAUUUGAAGGCUCAAAAAGAAGAGGCCACCACUGAGGUCUACAGUGUUUCCUCCAGUUCAAAUAAAAUGAA
Molecule: long non-coding RNA, 462 nt
Organism: Corvus hawaiiensis (hawaiian crow)
Lineage: Eukaryota; Metazoa; Chordata; Aves; Passeriformes; Corvidae
Exons: 4
Source: RefSeq, a predicted model, not a curated record